UACGGAGGGGGCUAGCGUUGUUCGGAAUUACUGGGCGUAAAGCGCACGUAGGCGGCUUGGUAAGUUAGAGGUGAAAGCCUGGGGCUCAACCCGGGAACUGCGUCCGAGACUGGCAGGCUCGAAUCCGGGAGAGGGAUGUGGAAUUCCAGGUGUAGCGGUGAAAUGCGUAGAUAUCUGGAGGAACACCGGUGGCGAAGGCGGCAUCCUGGACCGGUAUUGACGCUGAGGCGCGAAAGCCAGGGGAGCAAACGGG
RNAcentral lists this ribosomal RNA (253 nucleotides) under uncultured bacterium. RNAcentral's name for it is "partial 16S ribosomal RNA". It matches the Rfam family "Bacterial small subunit ribosomal RNA", at positions 524 to 776 of the family's 1533-position model. The record is from RNAcentral.